GUUGUACUCCCUCCGUCCGAAAAAACUUGUCCCUCAAAUGGAUCUAGCACUAAGUUAGUGCUAGAUACAUCCAUUUGAAGGACAAACUUAGGACAAGCUUUUUCGGACGGAGGGAUUAUAUC
This is a non-coding RNA of Triticum aestivum (bread wheat), 122 nucleotides long. The record is from Rfam. NCBI's taxonomy places the organism in Eukaryota, Viridiplantae, Streptophyta, Magnoliopsida, Poales, Poaceae.